Molecule: ribosomal RNA, 499 nt
Filed under: uncultured bacterium
Lineage: Bacteria
Description: bacterial SSU rRNA
Rfam family: Bacterial small subunit ribosomal RNA
Source: RNAcentral
GACGAACGCUGGCGGCGUGCUUAACACAUGCAAGUCGAACGAAGAUAUGUUGAAAGCUUGCUGAUACAUAUUUUAGUGGCGGACGGGUGAGUAACGCGUGAGGACUUGUCUAGUACAGGGGGACAACAGUUGGAAACGGCUGCUAAUACCCCAUAAGCCUAAGGGUAAAAGGAGCAAUCCGGUACAUGAGAGACUCGCGUCCUAUCAGCUAGUAGGUGGGGUAACGGCCCACCUAGGCGAAGACGGGUAGCCGGCCUGAGAGGGCGACCGGCCACACUGGGACUGAGACACGGCCCAGACUCCUACGGGAGGCAGCAGUGGGGAAUAUUGCACAAUGGGCGAAAGCCUGAUGCAGCGACGCCGCGUGAGGGAUGACGGCCUCGGUUGUAACGUACUUCUAGCAGGAGAAGACGAAGUAGACGGUACCGUCGCGAGAAGGAAGACGAACCGGCGUAACCUAACCGUAGUCCAGCAGCCGCGGUAACGUACGUAGUCUACG